Molecule: transfer RNA, 72 nt
Organism: Camelus ferus (Wild Bactrian camel)
Lineage: Eukaryota; Metazoa; Chordata; Mammalia; Artiodactyla; Camelidae
Rfam family: tRNA
About the family: Transfer RNA (tRNA) molecules are approximately 80 nucleotides in length. Their secondary structure includes four short double-helical elements and three loops (D, anti-codon, and T loops). Further hydrogen bonds mediate the characteristic L-shaped molecular structure. tRNAs have two regions of fundamental functional importance: the anti-codon, which is responsible for specific mRNA codon recognition, and the 3' end, to which the tRNAs corresponding amino acid is attached (by aminoacyl-tRNA synthetases). tRNAs cope with the degeneracy of the genetic code in two manners: having more than one tRNA (with a specific anti-codon) for a particular amino acid; and 'wobble' base-pairing, i.e. permitting non-standard base-pairing at the 3rd anti-codon position.
Source: Rfam
GAGGGCAUAGCUCAGCAGUAGAGUGCGUGCUUAGCACACACAAGGUCCUGGGUUCAAUCCCCAGUACUUCCA